RNAcentral lists this ribosomal RNA (244 nucleotides) under Sticta aff. andreana 2 JAMD-2022. Its description in RNAcentral is "partial small subunit ribosomal RNA". It matches the Rfam family "Bacterial small subunit ribosomal RNA", at positions 832 to 1107 of the family's 1533-position model. Lineage: Eukaryota; Fungi; Ascomycota; Lecanoromycetes; Peltigerales; Lobariaceae. The record is from RNAcentral.
UCUAUUAUUGUGUCUAUAAAUGAAAGUGUAAGCAUUCCACCUCAAGAGUAAUUUGGCAACAUUGGAACUGAAAUCAUUAGACCGUUUCUGAAACCAGUAGUGAAGUAUGUUGUUUAAUUAGAUGAUACACAAAAACCUUACCACAAUUUGAAUAUAUAUAUAAUAUAUUUACAAGCGCUGCACGGCUGUCUACAGUUAAUGUCGUGAGAUUAUGGUUAGCUCCAUUAAAUUGAUGUAAACCCAA